UUCAAUUACCCUAGCGUAUGGAAAAGAAUACCAAUAUUCAGAAUGAGCUCCCUAGUCACUUAUAGUAACCACCCUUUGUCCUUUACCCACCCCCAGCGAACUCCCCAUAAUUGGGACUCUCGGCAACCUGUAUGCUAGCCCAGGGACAGUGAGAAAGAGGUGUGUAUAACUUUUGUGAUUCAUGACUGAGCUCACUCCUUGUUUCUUUGCCUUCUGCAGAUGUGCCCUUGAGAACAUACUCCUCCACACCAGCAGUGCACCUCCAUCAGAUAAGGGAGCAACCCAAGAGGAGUAAGGAGGAUAUGUUUUGCUAAGUAUUGCAGUCAACUGAUGCAG
This is a non-coding RNA of Chelonoidis abingdonii (Abingdon island giant tortoise), 336 nucleotides long. The record is from RefSeq and is a predicted model, not a curated record. Lineage: Eukaryota; Metazoa; Chordata; Testudines; Testudinidae.